Molecule: non-coding RNA, 19 nt
Filed under: Rattus norvegicus (Norway rat)
Lineage: Eukaryota; Metazoa; Chordata; Mammalia; Rodentia; Muridae
Source: RNAcentral
AUGUGAAAUGUGAAUGUUG